AUAUAUAUAUAUAUAUAUAUAUAUAUAUAUAUAUAUUUUUUUAUUGCUGAGUACAGUUCUUUGGAAAGGGCAGCAAGGGUUUCAUCAAGUAAAAUCUACUUUUCCCUCUAGCAGUUACCAGCAAGCAUGCAAUCUGAUGGCUUGAGAUAAUGGUCAGGGUGUGAAUUGCUCAGCUUCUUCAAGCUGCUUCUGCCAGAGGAGGAGGAGGAAGAGGAGGAGGAGGAGGAGGAGGAGGAGGAGGAGGAGGAGGAGGAGGAGGAGGAGGAGGAGGAGGAGGAGCAGGAGGAGGAGGAGCUGGAGGAGGAAGAGGAGGAGGAGGAGAAAAAAGAGGAGGAGGAGUCUGUUUUGCUGGUGUAUCAGAUAUUUCAAGGUACUUGGUUUUACCUUUCCUGACUCUAGCAGGAAGAUUGUAUGCCAGAAAAGUAGAAACUGAACUGUUAGCUUAUAUGACUUAAAGCACCAUCAUGGAUUUUUUUUUUUCAGUUUAAAGGGCUCCCUAAUCCAACCCAAAUCUAGGGAGCACCAGGUAGGGUUGGGCUGCAUUCUUCUUACAAAUUCAAGAAGAAUAUUUGAUGACCUCACCUAGACUGAGUGGACAUGGGAUUAGAAGACAUAAAACAUCCUAGCCAUAUCCUGGAAGAUCUGGCUCAUCCUAGACAGAGAGGAUUCUUCCCUCAUGGUCACAAGAAGACCAGUCUUGUGUUCUACUAAAGAGUCAUCAGACCAUCCCCUUGCUAGAUGUUUCUUUGUCAGUUUGGAUUGAACCACUUGAGUUAAAUGAAGUGUUAACCCCUCAGAGAUGACUGGUUAAAAACCAUAUAUUGAAAAGUAAGACUUUUGCUCAUACCUGGUACAGGAUCUCAGUGGGGGUGAUUAGGAUGAGAAGCCUAAGACUGGCUAAUGGAAGGGAGGAGCUGUGCUAAUAAUAAACUACAUUUGCCUCUUAGUGAAGAACUAGCAAGGUACCAUGCAUAUUUCACUUGAUAUUUACUCACUUGAGAAAGGAAAACUUUCUUAUGAUUAUUACCAUUUUCAUCACUCUACCUCCCAUUUUAUAUUUGAGAAAAUAGAGCCUCUGAGAAUUUAAGAGAUUUGUAAGUACUUCUACAUAUGGCUGCAGAAUAAGACUUCUGUUCCCUGAUCCUGUGUUGUUUUUCUUUCCCCUGUAGGAUUUUGUAGAUAAACCAUGCUUUAAAAGGACUUCCUGCCUUACUGGACAGUAGAACAGAAUUGAAGAUGUGUUUGUGAAUUUAUUUAAUACCUCAGUAGGCCAUAGAUGGUAAGGGACACUAGCAUUAUUAUGCUGUGCAUAGGAACUAAAAUCAGGAUCAUUUGUAAAAUAGGCCGUAGUUCUUAAUUACCCUAAAAUUAAUUCUACUAAUGAUAAUUAAUAAAACAAUAAAGUUUGCAAUGCAUAAUGUAAAUCAGGUGACACAAUUUUUUUUACCACCAUAAUGCUGGUCUGGGCUAUGAGGCACAUAGAGUCUUCAAGGUAACACAUGGCCCUGCAGUAAAUAUUUACUAAAGUGCCGGUGUUUCUCAGUUCAAAUUUUUCUUUUAAAAUUGAGAAUGGUGAUAUCUAAGCUGUUUCUAACAUUGCUUUAAGAUGUAUUUUAAUGAAGAGAUUAAAACAUACAGUUGAUGUAUUCUUCAACAUUGUCAAACUGUUCAAAAACGACUGUACUGUAAUUUGAGAUAUAAAUUCUUUGACACUGCUUACAGGAACACUUCCUGUUAAAUGUAACACAGCUGGAAAAUUCUAAUGGAGCCAUGUCUGUGCAAUUACUGAUUGUGUAAUGCUGUAAAUUUUUGAUAAGCAUGUUCCAAGUUUUCCUGUCCUAAAAACAAAAACAUUAAAAUCACUGUCUAUGAAAGGAAGGCAAAAAACGACUGCAACUUUACUAGGAGAGGACAAUUUAUUAGAUAGGUUUAGAACUAGCUUAAAAAAAUCAAAAGACAAGUCAAAAAUCAGAAGAUUAAACUUUUAACAGGUUUAUGUCUAAAUAAUUCAUAUAAGGCCAUUUCUAACAGUAAAGAAUUUUUAUUAUAAACGUGGCCAUUAUCAUAGAAAUGUAAGUGAUUUGAGUGAGUGAAAUAAACCAAUUUUAUGCUAUCCAAAUACAAUGAAAUAAGCAGGAUGCCCUUUGACCCCUAAAUGACUUCUCUUUUAUUAUAUUGCCUGAGUAAAUCAGGUAAAUACAAAAGAACUGUUUGUUAACUUACUUCAGUAACCUGACAGUUAGGCUCAUGUCAGUUUGUUCUCCCCUUUGACCUGUGACUUGGCAUCGGAUUCUGCCCUCUGCUCCGUAAAGGUCAUUCCGACCCAAAUGGAAAAUGAAGAGAAAAACAUGAGGACCCAAACUUUGGCACACGGGGCAGGCUCUCAUGUACAUUGAUUUAAACAAAUAAAUCCUUGAAUGUACUUGGUGGCUUAUUUUCUAAGAGAGUGACAAUGCUUCUACUUGCUAGUACAUGAAGUGUACGAAGUGCAGAGGGUUAUACACUUCACAUGGUACAGAUUCUGAUGUCUUGGACUAACUCAACUUUGCUACAAUGACUGAGUUCAAGUUCACCUAUGCAUUUCUUCCCUCAUACUUGGGCCUUUGUUCACAGUAAUAAGUAGUUCGAAGAGUGCUGUUAUCAUCUCCUUUUUAUCCUAAAAGAUGCGUGGACACAGCUUUAGUAGUGUUUAACUCUGCCCAGAGAGCUUGAGUCUUCAACCCCUAAAGAGAAAAAUAUAUGUGACCAGGCACCAGUGGUAGAAGGCAGAGAUCUGAGGAUCACGGUUCAGGUU
Molecule: long non-coding RNA, 2794 nt
Organism: Perognathus longimembris pacificus (Pacific pocket mouse)
Lineage: Eukaryota; Metazoa; Chordata; Mammalia; Rodentia; Heteromyidae
Exons: 3
Source: RefSeq, a predicted model, not a curated record